RNAcentral lists this signal recognition particle RNA (97 nucleotides) under Actinomycetota bacterium. RNAcentral describes it as "signal recognition particle sRNA small type". It matches the Rfam family "Bacterial small signal recognition particle RNA". From Rfam's summary of the family: The signal recognition particle (SRP) is a universally conserved ribonucleoprotein involved in the co-translational targeting of proteins to membranes. Lineage: Bacteria; Bacillati; Actinomycetota. The record is from RNAcentral.
UGCGACCCCUCGUGCGGCGGUAUCCCGCUUAACCCCCCCAGGGCCGGAAGGCAGCAAGGGCAGGUGGGCUCUAUCGGGUGUGCGAGGGGUCCCUUGU